This 64-nucleotide transfer RNA is filed under the name Truljalia hibinonis. RNAcentral describes it as "tRNA-Trp". Lineage: Eukaryota; Metazoa; Arthropoda; Insecta; Orthoptera; Gryllidae. The record is from RNAcentral.
AAGGCCUUAAGUUAAUUAAACUAAUAGCCUUCAAAGCUGAAAUUAAAAGCAAUUUUAGGUCUUA